Molecule: transfer RNA, 73 nt
Filed under: Rattus norvegicus (Norway rat)
Lineage: Eukaryota; Metazoa; Chordata; Mammalia; Rodentia; Muridae
Rfam family: tRNA
About the family: Transfer RNA (tRNA) molecules are approximately 80 nucleotides in length.
Source: Rfam by way of RNAcentral
GGGGGGAUAGCUCAGUUGGUAAAGUGCUUGCCUUGUAAGCAAAAGGCCCCGAGUUCAAUCCUCAGCACCUGCA